GAGGCGACAUCGAUCAUAGUAAUCGGGCUGCACUCAUGUUGUGUUGUAACUAUCUGGAACCAUUGUUUAGGACAUGAUGUACCGUUGGAUUCUGCUCUGAGCCGAAAGGACCGAGACAGAAGG
This is a non-coding RNA of Paenibacillus sp. IHBB 10380, 123 nucleotides long. Lineage: Bacteria; Bacillati; Bacillota; Bacilli; Caryophanales; Paenibacillaceae. The record is from Rfam.